UUCCUCCACCUCCAAACCUGGCACGUCCUUAAAUGACCCUGGCUGUUAAUAGGACGUUAAACAAAACCACAAACAAUGAUGUCAGAGUAGAUGUUAAUUUGAAGUGUUGAAGGAAGUACAGUUAUUAAUUUUCCUUCCAUUAAACAUUACACAAAAACAAAGAAAAAUUUUAAAAGUCUUUGUUAAAUAAGUAGUUAUUCUAGUGAACAGGAAUUUCAUUGGAUAAAAUUUGAAGCAGAUUUUAAUCAUAAAUUUGAUUUUUUAAGGUAAAGAUUAAUUAGUACAUGUGGCAAAUAUGAUUCCUAGUUGAGAAACCAUCUGAAGGUAUAAUGGAAUUUGUUUGUUAAGUGGUCCAACUCCAACAUAAUGGUUGGUAAAUAAUAGCUAUUGUUCCACAUUCACGUGCAACACUCAAGGGGAGAGCACUCUAGUUUGGACAAUCUACUUCUGUCUAUGUAUGACACAGAUAUCUGACUAAACUAAGAAAUAAUCUUUAUAAAAUGCACUGCUUAGUGCAUGGGUUUGCAGACUGGUGUUUAUUUACAAACCUUGUUAGUCUGGGCCUAAACGGUGAAUUGCUAUGUUUUAAUAUAUAGAAAAUUCAGAUUACUGUACAGACAAUCAAAAUAUUUGAUCCAAAAGUUUCAGUUUGGAAGUUUUAUUAGGAAGCGUCAGACUGACAAGAUUUCAUGGUGUAUUGUCUCUAACUUAUUGUUGAUCAGAAAUCAUAUUUCUGAAUUUGUUGCAACCUAAUGGUCACCGAAUGCCAUUGUUUGCCUUUGAUGAUGUUACGAUAUUGAGCCUUGGUACAGUAUAUUGUUGAAACCACACAUUUCACCUGUAGUUCAUCAAAUAAUUUUUAGAACUUUUUUUUUCAAAAUAUGGAUUCUCUUAGAGAGAUGUUUAUGUUCAAAUAGUGGCAAUAGUUUCUUACAAAAUUAUUUUGUUUUUUGUUGUUUGAGGUCGUUUCACCUGUGUAAGGGGGAUAACUCUUAUAGAACCUUGGUAUGACCCGGUGAAUCUUCAUGCAAAGUAAAUCGGAUGCAUUUCAUUGACUUUAUUUUUAUAUGUAGAAAAAUAUCCAAGAUUUUUACUUAAUAUUUCCAUCUUAAUCAACCUGGGUUUCCUAUACAGAGUCCUCUAUAGUAUUUAUCAAUGGAAAGCAAUUAAAUGAAUACAUCUUGACCAUUUUAUGUGACAGGUGGUGACAGAUGUGCUUGACCAUACAGUAUUUAAUGGCCUUGUAUAGAAAUUCACAAUAUGGACAUUAAAAAUGUAUUUAACAUGUAAAUAUUGUACAUAGCACAACACCAGGAGCAUAAAAUCAAACAACGAUGCUUGUAUUCAAUUUAAUUUAUUUGAUUUCUUCAAUUUCUGGCUUCAAUGCUGUUCAACUCUAUAAUUUUUUUUUUCUCCCGCAAUUUUAUCCUUGAAAUAAUGUUGAAAAUAUUCAUGCCAAGAAAGAAAAAUGAAAUUCAGCGUCUUUGAUAUAAACAUAUAUACUAUAUAUGUUAAGAUAAAUAAUACCGCUUUUCUUACUCAAUGGAAAAUUUUGGAUUAUGUUCUAACAUUGCUGAUUAAGUUUUAAAUAUUAUACCAAAGUUUACGUGAAAUGGGGUGUGUAUGACAUGUACACACUUUGUCACAGUUCAGAAAGUGCUGUUCUAUUUCGAUAAGUGCUAUGUGGUAUCCUAGUGCAUACACGUGUUAACACUAGAAUUCCAUAGAAUCUAUUAAUACAGUUGUCAGUACGGCAAACAAAGUUCAUUAAUCGGUAACUUUGUUUGAGCUGAGGUACAGAAAUCUAUUAAGAACCUAGGUUUGAUAUAUGUUAAUGAUUUGUUUGAGCCGAGGUGAAGAAAUCUGUUGAGAAUCUGGUUUUAGGAUGAUGUAUGUUAACAAUUUGCUUGAUUUAUGUUCAUGAGCAGCUUUAUUUUCCCCUAGACUAUAGUUUGAACGUGUUAUUCCACUCUUUGUUAUUGUAGAACCUUAUAGCUACGAUCCUUUACCCGAAAACCUAGCAACAUUCCAUCAGGUUUACAUAGACAAUGCUUUCCCUGUUUAAACAAAACUACAGUGACGCACAAUUUCUAGAAAACAUUGCAGAAGGAAUUCAAAUCUUUAGAAAAGUAAAGUGAAGCCUUUCAUUCCUACAUCAGAAUAUGUAGAUCACAGUUUAAUUCAAUAUUUGAUUGAUUUUCGUAUCUUCUAGAGAAAUCCAGUUUGUUAUAUUGCACAUACAGAUUGGCGUAUGUUUCGCUUCAGUGUGAUAUCGUAAUAUAACCAGAUUUCAGCGACGUCGUCAGAUGCUGAGGACGCUAGGAAUUCCCGCCUUUCCCAUAGAAAAUUUUUGCGUGUUAUUUUAUGUGCCAUGCAAUGCAAGUACUGGGUGUGAGAAAGAACCUCUGGAAUGGGGAGGACAUCUUACCUUAAAUUGGUCACAAAAGGGGGAGGGAGCUGCAAAAAUCGAGUAAGAGAAACAUCGUGUAGUAGGCAAAUGUGUCCCAAGGCAGAGUGACCAGACUUGUAUACACCUCUUGGCAAAGGUAGUUUUUGGCAUGACCUUCAUUCAGACAACUAGUAAAAGGUAGUGUAUCUGUUUAUCUGUUCUAAAAAUUAUUGAAAUGGCGUGGAACAAUUACAGAAAUAUGAUGUAAGGUGAUAAAAACUGUUUGCCUUCAGUGAAAUCUAUUUAUAUCUAAUUACCAAACUUGGUCGAAAUCAAAUGGUUCUACGGUUUGAGAUCCUUCUUUAAUGUAUUUUGGUACUACUUGUAGCUUUUGAUUGGUUGAUUCAUAUCCCUGCUAUACAGCCCAUAAAUACUGUAUUUCGGAACUCCUCUUAGCUUUUGAUUGGUCGAUUCAUAUCCCUUCUAUACAGCCUCUAAAUACUGUACUUCGGAACGCCUGGUAGCUUUUGAUUGGUCGAUUCAUAUCCCUGCUAUACAGCAUCUAAAUACUGUACUUUCGGAACUCCUCAUAGCUCUUGAUUGGUUGAUUCAUAUCCCUGCUGUACAGACCCUAAAUGCUGUAUUUCGGAACUCCUCGUAGUUUUCAUUUGGUUGAUUCACAUUCUUGCUAAUAUAUAUAAUCACUAAAUAUAUUUUGGCUCCCCUUUAGAAUACAAUAUUGAAACCCUUUCUUCCCAUGGUCAUAUUGACCCCCCCCCCUAUUAUCUACUUUGAUUUGAAAACCAUGUUAGAAUGUUAUAAUUACUUUACUGAGGAUUAAUAAAAAAUGUUGAGGAAUGCUAAACACUUUAAUAAGAUGCUAAUUUUGAAAAUGUUUGUAGCAUUGAAAGCAUGGCAGAAUGGAAAGUUUUCAGAAAAUUUUUUGAGGCAGACAAAAUGAUCAUAUUUUUUUUAUGAAACAAAGAUAACACUUUCCAUGUGACAAUGCUGUUCAUGGCUACAAUGGAAAUGUUCAAUGAGUAAAAAGGUAUGAUGAGGGCAGCUUUGUUUUUACUUUCCCUUUUCCAGACCCCAUUUACUGCAGUAUUUUAUUUACGUUUGUUUUAUCUGUUUUUCUGUGUUGUUUUCUGAUUUGCGUACAACCGUUAUGUUUGCAGGGAUAUAAAAGUUGCUUCCAAUGUUGUCUGUAUCAACAACAGUUCUCACCAACUUCUUACUUCUCUAGACCCAACAACUGUAAAAUUUGUUAAAGUAUUUAAUUUUUGUUAUUUGAUUUUAUUUCUUCUGCAAAGGAUUUUUUAAAAAGAAAUUUGUUGCUUAGAGAUAUUUUUGCUCUGGUUAUAUUUUCGUGUAUUUAAGAAACUUCCAACUUGUUGAAUUCGACCUCUAUUUGGAGGUGGAAAAUGAUAUAAAAUCGUGAAGACUAUUCACUAAAUCCUAGGUCACACAUGCCCAAGAUAACGUAGCUUAUCGUACAUGAUUAAAGUCUAUUUCAGCUUAGUUUAAUGUACUAAUGUAGCAGUUUGCCAAAGUUUAACGUCUAAUUAAUUCACAUGUUAAACGUUCGGAGAUUAGUGAGGGGCGAUUUAUCUAUGAACAUGUUCAAAAGACCAUUACAGCAAGCACACGAUUUGGAACGUACUUUAGCAUACUUCCCCUCUACCCGAGUCAUCAGCCGUAAAUUACAUAUACAUAUUUUCAUUAUUGACCUUAAAUUUAACUUAUUUACCGUUUUGGGAACGUUGGGCUAUGUUAUUGAACGUACGUGUGACCUAGGCUUUGCUCACGUACUGAUCAGUGAUAUACGAAUCUGGCUAUCUUCGUUAAUCAUUUUGUCUUGAGAAACCACUUUUUGUUUUGAUAGAACUACAUGUACGUUUUCUGCAUUCUUGUUGUUAUAACGAAACGUUUGUGCAGUUGUUUGGAUGUAUAUGUACAAGGCUGUAGAGACGAGACAAUGAUAGAACAUAUUAGAUUAUAAAAGAAUUGUUGUCAGAAUUCAGAAUUUAUGGAUAUGUACAAAUAUAUAUUAUAUAUAUUGAUAUACAUUGUAUUAUAUUGAUGAAUAUUGUGACGUAUAAAAAUCAAUUUUUAAAUUCUUUAUUUUAAAGAAUCGUGCUUUUUGACCAAUAUGACAUUUUCUUUUUAUCAGGGUAGUUUUUCUCAUGUUGGCCGAUAGACGAGCUGUUAUCUGUAAUUACUGUCACAUAUCCCUCCUGUAUGAGGUUGGAGUCAUAAAACUGUGAACUAAAAUGUAUAUAUAAUUUCAUUAACCAUUCUAUGGGAUUCUGCGGACCUUACUAUCAUUUAACAUUAGACGUAUUAGGAUUCAUUUGGCAUUAGAUGUAUGAGGAUUUACGAUACGAGUUUGCUUACUUGAUUUAAUUUUGUUUUAUUUGAGUUUGGGUUCUUUGACUAAAGUUUGGGGGUUUCUGAUUCCAAAGUUUGGGGAUUUUUUAUUCGAAAGUUCAGGGAUUUCUGUUUCGAAAGUCUGGGGAUUUCUGAUUCCAAAUUUUGGGAUUUCUGAUUCGAAUCUCUGGGGGUUUCUAAACCCCAUAAUUGAUUUUAGACUGGGAAAAACUGAUGUUCUGCGACUGGUCAUAAUAGUAACAUCCCUGAUUUAUACAUGACCUGACUUUGUCCCCUCCCCUUUCGCCGGCCCCUCCCCCUAAAUCCUAACCUUCACUAUGGAGACCCCAUGUGACAGUAAUAACAGGCUACACACGUCUAUCCUUAUUGGCUAUGUGCUAAGCACACAAACGAACACUCAUACGUAGAUUAGCAUAGAAACCAAAAAUCAUGUUUACCCACGGGUAAUAUUUACAACCCUGUGCGAAAGCUCCAUGUUAUAAAACACUUGCAUUUAAUUUCAAAACUUUAUUUUUUAUUGAAAAAUUUGCAAGUGUACAUCGCUUCAUUAAUCAUCGCUACGAUCAUUGUGUACUAAGUUCGGUAGCAUGUAGUGUUAAAUAGAACUUCUAUGUCAGUAAUUGAUAUCAGAAGUAUAUAAUUUGACACUCCCUAUUUUUUAAUUUUGUAUGUAACAUACAAAUAUAUAUUUCCAUGCCAAAUUUGUUUUUACCUUGUAGAAUAUUUAUUUUUCGUUUUAGAAACUUGUACAUGCCUAACAGAAAUUGUUUUACGGGCAGAACUGUGUGACUGGUAUAUUAAUACAUAGAUACUGGAAUCCACUUACGCAAUAGUGUUUGAGCUUUGAUACAGUGUGAAAUAUGACGCCAAAACAUGGUAAGCAUUAAAGACACUUUAAAGUCAUUUGUAGCGUUUAAUUAGUGUGGUAAUUAAGAUCAAGGUAAAUCCUUUCGGAAAAAUUAGAAAUAAUUUCUUACUCCCCAUCUCGAUUACAAAUACAGUCAAACCUGCUCUAACGGCCACCCCUCUUAAGCGGCCAGUCUGUGGUCUGCCCGAUGGAAAACACUAUAUAAUGAACCUUAAAUAAGCGGUCACCUGUCUAACGUAGCCAGCGGCCACAAAAAUUUGCCCCAAGUCGUUGUAUCUUCCUGUAUUAAGCGGCCAUUUUGUCCGGAAGUAGACAUCCGCGAUGAUCACAUGACCAAAUAUUUUUAUCAAAUUCAUCAAAACUUUUAUCUUUGUUGGUUUUCAUUUCAAAAUACACUAAAGAUGGUAUAUUGUUAUCAAUAUCAAUAAGUGCAUUAUGAUAUGAUAAAUUCAAUAAACUGCAUAAAAAAGAAUUGGGCAACAGGCCGUUUCUGACCAACCUGGUUUAAGCAGCCACCUGUCUUAAGCAGCCAAUAUCUGUUGGUCCCUUGGGUGGCCGCUUAAUACAGGUUUGACUGUAGUGUAAUACCUGUUUGGGAUGACAAAGUAAAGAAUAUUCUUGUUUAGGUAGUUAGGUAGAUAAAUUGCGCAGACCACGUUACUUUUAUCACUAAACCAGAAAUGAUCUCGAUCUGUAUGCAAAGACAGGUUUCAAUGAUUAGAUGGCUAUUGAUCACCGAUUGACUUUCUCUCCACAAUAUGUCUGAAGAAUACUGUUUAAUAAAAUGUUUGUAUAGAAAAAAAACUAUGUUUUUUAGUAACACACAAAAAAAUACCUGGAAAAAUCUUUUUUCACGAAAUACUUGUAUAGUAAGUAAUUAGGGUUGAGAUUUUCAGUUUCACACAAAAAGAUCUGGAAAAUAUUUCCCAAAAUAUUUGUAUAGUAAGAAUUACGUUUUUUCAGUUACACAAAAAAUAUCUGGAAAAUACCAAUAAAUAUAUGGAAAAUAUUUCACAAAAUAUUUGAAUAGUACAAGAAUUAUGUUUUUUCAGUUACACACAAAAUAUAUCUGGAAAUACCACAAAAAUAUCUUGAAAUAUUUCAGAAAAUCUUUGUAUAGAAAAAAGCGAUGGUUUUUAGUAACACACAAACAUAAAAAUAAUGAUAACGAGGUUAAAAUCUUGGUGUAUAUAAUUGUAAGUUAUCGGUUAAGCAGUAAGAAGUCUAACAGAAAUCAAAUUAUAUCGCUCAACGCGGUGUGUGUGAUGUUAAAGUUGUGGUAUAAUGUGAAAUACUUCAUGUUUAGAAGUUCACAGUGUUCUGAAGAAUAGUGUUUUCUAUAGCCCUAGUUCAGAAUUAUAGCUGACGCCAAAAAUUAAAAUGAAAUCAAAAUCACAUUGUGUGUUGAUGAUAAAAUUAGUCCAGUAAUGUUGUAUAUUUUAGACGGAUAAAUAUACCCUGGUAUUAAUUCUUAAGUUUAAAAAAGGAAAGAAAAAUAUACAUAAUCAAAAUAUUUGUUUUCGCAUAUGAUCAUCCGAAUUAUAUUCUAACAGAUGAAAGUAACAGACAUGUAUUCAGUUACACAGCUUAAUAUUUUUACUAAUUAUCAUGUGCCAAGUGUAUUUUAGAAGAUUCAAUUUUCCAACUAAAUUUGCCAAGGAAAGUUGGAGGAAACUGCCGGAUGCUUUCUUUAGAGGUACAAAAUUUUUUGUUUGAUGAAAUUUUUUUCUUCUUUUUUUUCAGAUGCUUCCAAGCAAAUAAUGAUAAUAUUACAAGUUUUAUUUGUAUUAAUGGAUGUAGCUCAAUUCAUUUUGUACUUCUCCAGGUACAUUUUGUGUAUUAUAAGUGGCGGGACCACCAAUAAGAUCAAAGGUACAAAAAUACAGGCACACCCCAAUGAUCGUGUGUGGCAGGCCCACCAAUGAGAUCAAAGUAUUAACUGCGAAUAUCUUACGUUAUUAUAUCAAUUUCCUUAAAAGUGAAACUAUAUUCAAAUAUAUAGAAAUAACCAGUAACAAUGAUAAGACCAGAAUGGUUUAGUAUUCAGUCAGGGAAUCGUCAUAUUCUUAAUCAAGAUAUCAUUUCAUGUUCAUAUUGAAAUUCUUCUGACACAGAAUCACUCUUUGUUAAGAGAUUGUCAGCUGGCGAACCUAUUUUCACCAGAUUUCAAUAUUCUUACAAUCUUUCACUAAGUUUACAGACAAACCUCAUUAAUUUUAAAAUGAUCUCUACCUCAUUUCCCCUAACGCACAUUAGUCUUUUUGUAUAUGUCCUGAUUGCAUAAUAAUAUCUGUGUGUAGUCAAAUAGUGAUCGUUUGAUUAAAUGUUGUGUAACCACGCGCCACAUGACGGUAGUUAAUCUUUGAUUCUAGUGGUCUGAUGUUAUCAGUGUUAAUGUAAAGAAAAUGUUUGAAAGAAGCUGCGUACAUGUGUUAGAUAACUAGAUCUUAAUAAACUCAGACUUCAUGGUCUUAAGAUAACUAGACCUUAAUAAACUCGGACGUCAUGGUCUUAAGAUAACUAGAUCUUAAUAAACUCGGACGUCAUGGUCUUAAGAUAACUAGAUCUUAAUAAACUAAGACGUCAUUGUCUAUGUAAGAGGCCUUUAGAUAACUAGAUCUUAAUAAACUCGGACGUCAUGGUCUUAAGAUAACUAGAUCUUAAUAAACUCGGACGUCAUUGUUUAUGUAAGAGGGCUGUAGAUAAGGGCUGUAGAUAACUAGAUCUUAAUAAACUCGGACGUCAUUGUCUUAAGAUAACUAGAUCUUAAUAAACUCAGACUUCAUGGUCUUAAGAUAAUUAGAUCUUAAUAAACUAAGACGUCAUUGUCUAUGUAAGAGGGCUGUAGAUAACUAGAUCUUAAUAAACUAAGACGUCAUUGUCUAUGUAAGAGGACCUUAAAACUAGAUCUUAAUAAACUCGGACGUCAUUGUUUAUGUAAGAGGACCUUAAAACUAUAUCUUAAUAAAUUAAGACGUCAUUGUCUAUGUAACAGGGCCUAAGAUAACUAGAUCUUAAUAAACUCUGAUGUCAUUGUCUGUGUAAGAGGCCUAAGAUAACUAGAUCUUAAUAAACUCUGACUUCAUGGUCUAUGUAAGAGGACCUUAAAACUAGAUCUUAAUAAAUUAAGACGUCAUUGUCUAUGUAACAGGGCCUAAGAUAACUAGAUCUUAAUAAACUAAGACAUCAUUGUCUAUGUAAGAGGGACUUAGAUAACUAGAUCUUAAUAAACACAGACGUCAUGGUCUAUUUAAUGGGUGUUAAGAUAACUAGAUCUUAAUAAACUCUGAUGUCAUUGUCUGUGUAAGAGGCCUAAGAUAACUAGAUCUUAAUAAACUCUGACUUCAUGGUCUAUGUAAGAGGACCUUAAAACUAGAUCUUAAUAAAUUAAGACGUCAUUGUCUAUGUAACAGGGCCUAAGAUAACUAGAUCUUAAUAAACUCGGACUUCAUGGUCUAUGUAAGAGGGCCUUAGAUAACUAGAUCUUAAUGAAGUAAGACUUCACUGUCUAUGUAAGAGGGCCUAAGAUAAUUAGAUCUUAACGAAGUAAGACGUCAUUGUCUAUGUAACAGGGCCUAAGAUAACUAGAUCUUAAUAAACUCGGACUUCAUGGUCUAUGUAAGAGGGCCUUAGAUAACUAGAUCUUAAUGAAGUAAGACUUCACUGUCUAUGUAAGAGGGCCUAAGAUAAUUAGAUCUUAACGAAGUAAGACGUCAAUGUCUAUGUAAAAGGACCUAAGAUAACUAGAUCUUAAUAAACUCAGACUUCAUGGUCUAUGUAAGGGGACCUAAGAUAACAAGAUCUUAAUAAACUUUUGGAUUAUAUGGUAGUUUCGCUUGGCCUUUUAUCAAUUUUUGUCAAAGCUUAAUAUAAUAUCCUGAUGGAAAAAUUGUUAAUCUAGAUGACUCUUUAUAGCUUUAAAUUGAUUCUAUCGUGAAACUUGUGACGUCCUUUUACUGGCAAACCAUUUUCCUGAAUUCCUGGCGGUAUAAGGCAAAUAUUAAGUACAUGAUUGUACAGUACGAACAUUUUAAACGACGGGUAAGAAUUUUUAGCUGCUGCUUUUCUUGACUUCUCCUUCCUUUAUUGGAGAUUCAAGAUGUGAGGUCUGAUAUUGGAGAUCGGGAAACACAUGUAUUAAUGAAAUGCUGUUCUUAGGGAUGUGAUGAUUAAUUAGUCGAGGCUGUUUUCUGUAGCGCACAAUUAUUUUUUGUUAGUAGUGAAGACACUUUAACUCGUUCAUUGUGAGAGAAGAUGUGUGUAUAUUGGAAUUGUCAGUAAGACUGACUGUUACAAGCAGAACGCUAUUUAUCUUUCGUGUAGAAACAAUGACAUAUUGUCAUCUAUAGUAACUAUAUGAAAUAGACACGUUAUUAUAUAUUUUAGUCCCUGGUCCAAUUUUUUUCACAAAAAACUUUUUUCGGCAGAUUUCCCAUAAUUACUUUUUUUAACAAUAGUACUUUCAAUAAUUGCCAUUUUAAAUAAAAAGAUACUUUGUUUAUAUUUUAUAAUGUUGUGAUGUUGAAAGCAUGUUAUUCAUUUUUAAUGUUCAUUCAAUAUCAUAUUGAAAGUACAGACAAUUUGGCAAUACUUUAUUUAUAAACAUGUUUUUAAGAAAAAAAUUAACCUUUAAAAUGAAGGUUUUUUUUGUGUUAAAAAAAUCUGGGCAAGGACGUUCGGCAACUGGCUUUAAUCCUUGUUUUUGUGAUAUCUGUUACUGAUCGUAAUUCUGUUAUUCUAUACAGAUGCCAUAUCUCGCCCUGGGAGUCCCGUGUGGCCCCACGGGCGGGGAAGUUUGGCCUCUUCGUUGUUGUGUUUUAACGUGAUAUGAUAAUACAGGCCAUAGCUUCAAAUUAAGUGCUGCAUAUACAUAUGUCAUUAGUUCAUUCAUGAUAUUCUUUCAUUCCUUCAUUAUGUCAUUGAACCAUUCGACCAUGACUUCGUCGCUGACGAUGGCAUGUCGUAAUGAAUGUAACCAUGGGGAUAUAAUUUUUUCCUCUAUCGCUGAACGUAAAUGAUAAGAAAUAAUGUUUUAAUGUAAUCCAAAAAGAAAGUUCCGCUUUCCAUUAAAAGAAAGAAUUAUUGUUGCAAAAGUUGAAAAAAUUGCUCUGAUAUAUUUCAAUAUUAAAUGAAGAUUUCCAGUAUAUCAUUAGAUAUUUUCUAAACCAAAGGAAAUGACCUUCUAUAAAAUCUCUACACAUUUGUUGUCAUCUGCUGUCACCAUGGUGACCAUUGUUGCCUUGGUGAGGUAGUUGAUGUAUUGUCAUGGUUACAUUCUCCUCCAUUGUUGUUUAUUUUCAUGUUUCCCACUGGUGCUAGUAAACCCGGUGGUUAUUACCUCAGCGGAUCAUGUUGUCUAUUACGUCAUUAUUACGUGGAUUAAAGAAGCUUUAAUACUGAA
Pecten maximus is the source of this 11049-nucleotide long non-coding RNA. RefSeq lists it as uncharacterized. The transcript is spliced from 2 exons. Lineage: Eukaryota; Metazoa; Mollusca; Bivalvia; Pectinida; Pectinidae. The record is from RefSeq and is a predicted model, not a curated record.